AGCUAAUACCGGAUAAUAUUUUGAACCGCAUGGUUCAAAAGUGAAAGACGGUCUUGCUGUCACUUAUAGAUGGAUCCGCGCUGCAUUAGCUAGUUGGUAAGGUAACGGCUUACCAAGGCAACGAUGCAUAGCCGACCUGAGAGGGUGAUCGGCCACACUGGAACUGAGACACGGUCCAGACUCCUACGGGAGGCAGCAGUAGGGAAUCUUCCGCAAUGGGCGAAAGCCUGACGGAGCAACGCCGCGUGAGUGAUGAAGGUCUUCGGAUCGUAAAACUCUGUUAUUAGGGAAGAACAUAUGUGUAAGUAACUGUGCACAUCUUGACGGUACCUAAUCAGAAAGCCACGGCUAACUACGUGCCAGCAGCCGCGGUAAUACGUAGGUGGCAAGCGUUAUCCGGAAUUAUUGGGCGUAAAGCGCGCGUAGGCGGUUUUUUAAGUCUGAUGUGAAAGCCCACGGCUCAACCGUGGAGGGUCAUUGGAAACUGGAAAACUUGAGUGCAGAAGAGGAAAGUGGAAUUCCAUGUGUAGCGGUGAAAUGCGCAGAGAUAUGGAGGAACACCAGUGGCGAAGGCGACUUUCUGGUCUGUAACUGACGCUGAUGUGCGAAAGCGUGGGGAUCAAACAGGAUUAGAUACCCUGGUAGUCCACGCCGUAAACGAUGAGUGCUAAGUGUUAGGGGGUUUCCGCCCCUUAGUGCUGCAGCUAACGCAUUAAGCACUCCGCCUGGGGAGUACGACCGCAAGGUUGAAACUCAAAGGAAUUGACGGGGACCCGCACAAGCGGUGGAGCAUGUGGUUUAAUUCGAAGCAACGCGAAGAACCUUACCAAAUCUUGACAUCCUUUGACAACUCUAGAGAUAGAGCCUUCCCCUUCGGGGGACAAAGUGACAGGUGGUGCAUGGUUGUCGUCAGCUCGUGUCGUGAGAUGUUGGGUUAAGUCCCGCAACGAGCGCAACCCUUAAGCUUAGUUGCCAUCAUUAAGUUGGGCACUCUAAGUUGACUGCCGGUGACAAACCGGAGGAAGGUGGGGAUGACGUCAAAUCAUCAUGCCCCUUAUGAUUUGGGCUACACACGUGCUACAAUGGACAAUACAAAGGGCAGCGAAACCGCGAGGUCAAGCAAAUCCCAUAAAGUUGUUCUCAGUUCGGAUUGUAGUCUGCAACUCGACUACAUGAAGCUGGAAUCGCUAGUAAUCGUAGAUCAGCAUGCUACGGUGAAUACGUUCCCGGGUCUUGUACACACCGCCCGUCACACCACGAGAGUUUGUAACACCCGAAGCCGGUGGAGUAACCUUUUAGGAGCUAGCCGUCGAAGGUGGGACAAAUGAUUGGGGUGAAGUCGUAACAAGGUAGCCGUAUCGGAAGGUGCGGCUGGAUCACCU
RNAcentral lists this ribosomal RNA (1382 nucleotides) under Staphylococcus aureus. Its description in RNAcentral is "bacterial SSU rRNA". It matches the Rfam family "Bacterial small subunit ribosomal RNA", at positions 161 to 1528 of the family's 1533-position model. The record is from RNAcentral. Lineage: Bacteria; Bacillati; Bacillota; Bacilli; Caryophanales; Staphylococcaceae.